Molecule: transfer RNA, 75 nt
Filed under: Gigantura chuni (gigantura)
Lineage: Eukaryota; Metazoa; Chordata; Actinopteri; Aulopiformes; Giganturidae
Description: tRNA-Lys
Rfam family: tRNA
About the family: Transfer RNA (tRNA) molecules are approximately 80 nucleotides in length. Their secondary structure includes four short double-helical elements and three loops (D, anti-codon, and T loops).
Source: RNAcentral
CACUGAGAAGCUGAACCGGGUAUAAGCGUUAGCCUUUUAAGCUAAACAUUGGUGGCCCCCAACCACCCUCAGUGA